UACGGAGGGAGCGAGCGUUAAUCGGAAUAACGGGGCGUAAAGCGCGCGUAGGUGGUUGAGGCAGUCAGAUGUGAAAGCCCCGGGCUUAACCUGGGAACUGCAGCUGAUACUGCUUGACUCGAGUACGGUAGAGGGGAGUGGAAUUUCCUGUGUAGAGGUGAAAUGCGCAGAUAUAGGAAGGAACACCAGUGGCGAAGGCGACUGCCUGGACUGAUACUGACACUGAGGUGCGAAAGCGUGGGUAGCAAACAGG
Molecule: unclassified non-coding RNA, 253 nt
Filed under: uncultured Oceanospirillales bacterium
Lineage: Bacteria; Pseudomonadati; Pseudomonadota; Gammaproteobacteria; Oceanospirillales
Description: contains 16S-23S intergenic spacer region
Rfam family: Bacterial small subunit ribosomal RNA
Source: RNAcentral